RNAcentral lists this ribosomal RNA (253 nucleotides) under uncultured bacterium. Its description in RNAcentral is "partial 16S ribosomal RNA". It matches the Rfam family "Bacterial small subunit ribosomal RNA", at positions 524 to 776 of the family's 1533-position model. The record is from RNAcentral.
UACAGAGGUGACAAGCGUUAGGCGGAAUCACUGGGCUUAAAGCGCGCGUAGGCGGAUGUUUACGUGUCUUGUGAAAUCCCACGGCUCAACCGUGGAACUGCUGGGCAUACUGGACAUCUCGAGGCACUCAGGGGCGAGCGGAACAAGUGGUGGAGCGGUGAAAUGCGUAGAUAUCACUUGGAACGCCAAUGGUGAAGACAGCUCGCUGGGGGUGUCCUGACGCUGAGGCGCGAAAGCCAGGGGAGCGAACGGG